UACGUAGGGGGCAAGCGUUGUCCGGAUUUAUUGGGCGUAAAGAGCGUGUAGGCGGUUUGGUAGGUCCGCUGUGAAAACUCGAGGCUCAACCUCGAGACGCCGGUGGAAACCAUCAGGCUAGAGUCCGGAAGAGGAGAGUGGAAUUCCUGGUGUAGCGGUGAAAUGCGCAGAUAUCAGGAAGAACACCCGUGGCUAAGGCGGCUCACUGGCCCGUAACUGACGCUGAGGUGCGAAAGCGUGGGGAGCAAACAGG
This 253-nucleotide ribosomal RNA is filed under the name uncultured bacterium. RNAcentral describes it as "partial 16S ribosomal RNA". It matches the Rfam family "Bacterial small subunit ribosomal RNA", at positions 524 to 776 of the family's 1533-position model. The record is from RNAcentral.